UUUCGGGAGAAAAGUACCAAGCUAUUCACUUGGUUCUUUUUUUUAAAAAUAAACUCAGCUUGUGUGUAGUGUGGGGUUGAAGGAAAAUCAAUAGACCAUUUAUUCACAUAGUGCGUAUUUACUAAAUUACUAAUGGUGAUGAUCUUGGAUGGCAUCCGGUCUGAGAAUAUUGGAAACGACGUGAAAUUGGUAUGGAAUAGGUGGAAUAUUAGAAAAGGGCAUCAGACACAACGACGGACUAACUGGACUUAUAAUUUGCUGGUGGGUUACUUGGGAGGUCAGAAACAAUAUAAUUUUUCAAGGGAAU
This 307-nucleotide long non-coding RNA is filed under the name Ananas comosus (pineapple). Its description in RNAcentral is "long non-coding RNA (ACOM_LNC008204)". The record is from RNAcentral. Lineage: Eukaryota; Viridiplantae; Streptophyta; Magnoliopsida; Poales; Bromeliaceae.